RNAcentral lists this ribosomal RNA (253 nucleotides) under uncultured bacterium. RNAcentral describes it as "partial 16S ribosomal RNA". It matches the Rfam family "Bacterial small subunit ribosomal RNA", at positions 524 to 776 of the family's 1533-position model. The record is from RNAcentral.
UACGUAGGGUGCAAGCGUUGUCCGGAAUUAUUGGGCGUAAAGAGCUCGUAGGCGGCUUGUCGCGUCGGCUGUGAAAACCUGGGGCUCAACCCCGGGCCUGCAGCCGAUACGGGCAAGCUAGAAUUCGGUAGGGGAGACUGGAAUUCCUGGUGUAGCGGUGAAAUGCGCAGAUAUCAGGAAGAACACCUAUGGCGAAAGCAGCUCUCUGGGACGGUACUGACGCUGAGACGCGAAAGCGUGGGGAGCGAACAGG